AACGCGAAGAACCUUACCUGGGCUUGAACUACGGAUGGUAAGCUGUUGGAAACAGUGGCUGACCCGCAAGGGAGUCCGCAGAGGUGCUGCAUGGUUGUCGUCAGCUCGUGUCGUGAGAUGUUGGGUUAAGUCCCGCAACGAGCGCAACCCCUACUCGAUGUUGCUAAUCCCGCAAGGGAUGCACUCUUCGAGAACUGCCUUCGAUAAGAAGGAGGAAGGUGGGGACGACGUCAAAUCCUCAUGGCCCUUAUGUCCAGGGCUACACACGUGUUACAAUGGCCGGUACAAUGGGAAGCAAUGCCGUAAGGUGGAGCCAAACCCACAAAGCCGGCCCCAGUUCAGAUUGUGGGCUGCAACUCGCCCACAUGAAGGCGGAAUCGCUAGUAAUCGCUGAUCAGCAGGCAGCGGUGAAUACGUUCCCGGGCCUUGUA
Molecule: ribosomal RNA, 431 nt
Filed under: uncultured Elusimicrobium sp.
Lineage: Bacteria; Pseudomonadati; Elusimicrobiota; Elusimicrobia; Elusimicrobiales; Elusimicrobiaceae
Description: bacterial SSU rRNA
Rfam family: Bacterial small subunit ribosomal RNA
Source: RNAcentral